UACGGGGGGGGCAAGCGUUGUUCGGAAUUACUGGGCGUAAAGGGCGCGUAGGCGGCCAGACAGAGUCGAGCGUUAAAUUCCAGGGCUUAACCCUGGGCUGUUGCUCGAUACUAGUCGGCUAGAGUGUGGAAGAGGGUGCUGGAAUUCCCGGUGUAGCGGUGAAAUGCGUAGAUAUCAGGAGGAACACCGGUGGCGAAGGCGGGUCUCUGGGCAGUAACUGACGCUGAGGAGCGAAAGCGUGGGGAGCGAACAGG
This 254-nucleotide ribosomal RNA is filed under the name uncultured bacterium. RNAcentral describes it as "partial 16S ribosomal RNA". It matches the Rfam family "Bacterial small subunit ribosomal RNA", at positions 524 to 776 of the family's 1533-position model. The record is from RNAcentral.